AGCGACUUAUAUUCUGUAGCAAGGUUAACCGAAUAGGGGAGCCGAAGGGAAACCGAGUCUUAACUGGGCGUUAAGUUGCAGGGUAUAGACCCGAAACCCGGUGAUCUAGCCAUGGGCAGGUUGAAGGUUGGGUAACACUAACUGGAGGACCGAACCGACUAAUGUUGAAAAAUUAGCGGAUGACUUGUGGCUGGGGGUGAAAGGCCAAUCAAACCGGGAGAUAGCUGGUUCUCCCCGAAAGCUAUUUAGGUAGCGCCUCGUGAAUUCAUCUCCGGGGGUAGAGCACUGUUUCGGCAAGGGGGUCAUCCCGACUUACCAACCCGAUGCAAACUGCGAAUACCGGAGAAUGUUAUCACGGGAGACACACGGCGGGUGCUAACGUCCGUCGUGAAGAGGGAAACAACCCAGACCGCCAGCUAAGGUCCCAAAGUCAUGGUUAAGUGGGAAACGAUGUGGGAAGGCCCAGACAGCCAGGAUGUUGGCUUAGAAGCAGCCAUCAUUUAAAGAAAGCGUAAUAGCUCACUGGUCGAGUCGGCCUGCGCGGAAGAUGUAACGGGGCUAAACCAUGCACCGAAGCUGCGGCAGCGACACUAUGUGUUGUUGGGUAGGGGAGCGUUCUGUAAGCCUGUGAAGGUGGCCUGUGAGGGUUGCUGGAGGUAUCAGAAGUGCGAAUGCUGACAUAAGUAACGAUAAAGCGGGUGAAAAGCCCGCUCGCCGGAAGACCAAGGGUUCCUGUCCAACGUUAAUCGGGGCAGGGUGAGUCGACCCCUAAGGCGAGGCCGAAAGGCGUAGUCGAUGGGAAACAGGUUAAUAUUCCUGUACUUGGUGUUACUGCGAAGGGGGGACGGAGAAGGCUAUGUUGGCCGGGCGACGGUUGUCCCGGUUUAAGCGUGUAGGCUGGUUUUCCAGGCAAAUCCGGAAAACC
Molecule: ribosomal RNA, 925 nt
Filed under: Escherichia coli
Lineage: Bacteria; Pseudomonadati; Pseudomonadota; Gammaproteobacteria; Enterobacterales; Enterobacteriaceae
Description: partial 23S ribosomal RNA
Rfam family: Bacterial large subunit ribosomal RNA
Source: RNAcentral